GGUUUGUGGCUCAGUGGUAGAGCACUCUACCAGAAAGUGUGAGGCACUGUGUUCAAUCCUCAGUACCA
This 68-nucleotide transfer RNA is filed under the name Marmota monax (woodchuck). RNAcentral describes it as "tRNA.Ser". The record is from RNAcentral. Lineage: Eukaryota; Metazoa; Chordata; Mammalia; Rodentia; Sciuridae.